RNAcentral lists this ribosomal RNA (406 nucleotides) under uncultured bacterium. Its description in RNAcentral is "bacterial SSU rRNA". It matches the Rfam family "Bacterial small subunit ribosomal RNA", at positions 28 to 430 of the family's 1533-position model. The record is from RNAcentral.
GACGAACGCUGGCGGCGCGCCUAACACAUGCAAGUCGAGCGAGAACCAGAGCUUCGGUUCUGGGGAAAGCGGCGAACGGGUGAGUAACACGUGGGUAAUCUGCCCUCGGCGCCGGGAUAGCCCGGGGAAACCCGGAUUAAUACCGGAUGGCCUCUCGCGCUCUCGGGCGCGAAAGAAAAGGUGGCUUCGGCUUCUGGCCGAGGAUGAGCCCGCGGCCGAUUAGCUUGUUGGUGAGGUAAUGGCNCACCAAGGCUCCGAUCGGUAGCUGGUCUGAGAGGACGAUCAGCCACACUGGGACUGAGACACGGCCCAGACUCCUACGGGAGGCAGCAGUGGGGAAUCUUGCGCAAUGGGCGAAAGCCUGACGCAGCGACGCCGCGUGCGGGAAGAAGGCCUCGGUGUAACG